GAACCGCGAUGGUACUCCGAACCGCGAUGGUCACGCUGAAGUGCGAUGGUCCACGCUGAAGUGCGUUGGUUAAUACGCUGAAGUGAGAUGGUGACAUUGUGACGUUAACUUGUUGAUAACUAUACGCCGAAGUGCGAUGAUGGUUACGCUGAAGUACGAUGGUCUUCCUGUGACAUUGGAAAAAAAGCAAAAUGUAUAUACAAGCUGGUUAAAAGAAAUAAUAUCAUAACGAUUUGAGAAAAUGUAUAGCCCUUAGCCUCGAAUUAUGAAGAUUUUAAUUUUCUGUUUAUGUCAAACAAAACUUAAGGCUUUAAAUUUUGAUUUUUUUAAUCUAAUUUUAAAAUAUGCUAAUUCUCCGAUUAGCACGCAGUAGUUGAGAGUAAAAUAAUAUGCCGUUCAAGACGGAAAAAAAAAAGAUACAGCGUGUAGGUCUAUAUAAUAGUACCUAGAAGGGUCCAUCUCAUUUUAUUAUAUAUUACGACAAAACUUAGAAAUUGCUCACAACAAUUAUUCAUCCAUUUAUAUAUACCCGAUUGCUCACGGAGUAAAAAAAAACACUUUGUGCAUUUAUGUAUGACAAAU
RNAcentral lists this long non-coding RNA (582 nucleotides) under Mytilus galloprovincialis (Mediterranean mussel). Lineage: Eukaryota; Metazoa; Mollusca; Bivalvia; Mytilida; Mytilidae. The record is from RNAcentral.